CAGCCGCCGCGGUAAUACCGGCGGCCCGAGUGGCGGUCACUAUUAUUGGGCUUAAAGCGUCCGUAGCCGGGGUGGGAAGUCCUCCGGGAAAUCUGGCCGCUUAACGGUCAGAAUGCCGGAGGAUACUCCCAACCUAGGGAGCGGGAGAGGCCGAGGGUAUUCCCGGAGUAGGGGGGAAAUCCUAUAAUCCCGGGAGGACCACCUGUGGCGAAGGCGCUCGGCUGGAACGCGUCCGACGGUGAGGGACGAAGGCCAGGGGAGCAAACCGGAUUAGAUACCCGGGUAGUCCUGGCUGUAAACGAUGCGGACUUUGUGUCGGACAAGCUAUGAGCUUGUCCGGUGCCGGAGGGAAACCGUUAAGUCCGCCGCCUGGGGAGUACGGCCGCAAGGCUGAAACUUAAAGGAAUUGGCGGG
This 414-nucleotide ribosomal RNA is filed under the name uncultured microorganism. RNAcentral describes it as "bacterial SSU rRNA". It matches the Rfam family "Archaeal small subunit ribosomal RNA", at positions 459 to 872 of the family's 1478-position model. The record is from RNAcentral.